NNNNNUUCAGUCCUCCCAGUGCACACCAGUGCACACCAGUGCGCACCAGUGCAAACCAGUGCCCCCAGCACCUCCCAGCGCAAACCAGUGCCCCCAGCACACCUUCCAGUGCACACCAGUGCACACCAGUGCACACCAGUGCCCUCAGCACCUCCCAGUGCAAACCAGUGCCCCCAGAAUCUCACAGGGACCCCAGCACCUCCCAGUGCACACCAGUGCAAACCAGUGCACACCAGUGCACACCAGUGCCCCCAGCACCUCCCAGUGCCCCCAGAAUCUCCCAGUGCCCCCAGCACCUCCCAGUGCACACCAGUGCAAACCAGUGCACACCAGUGCCCCCAGCACCUCCCAGUGCAAACCAGUGCACACCAGUGCCCCCAGCACCUCUCGGUGCACACCAGUGCAAACCAGUGCCUCCAGCACCUCCCAGUGCGCACCAGUGCAAACCCGUGCGCACCAGUGCCCCCAGCACCUCCCAGUGCAAACCAGUGCACACCAGUGCGCACCAGUGCACCCAGCACCUCCCAGAGCAAGCCAGUGCUUGCAGAGCAAGCCAGUGCCUCCACCAUUUCCCAGUGCUCCCAGUGCGCACCAGUGCCCCCAGAAUCUCCCAGUGCCCCCAGCACCUCCCAGUGCACACCAGUGCGAACCAGUGCCCUCAGCACCUCCCAGAGCAAGCCAGUGCCUCCACCAUUUCCCAGUGCUCCCAGUGCGCACCAGUGCCCCCAGAAUCUCCCAGUGCCCCCAGCACCUCCCAGUGCAAACCAGUGCACACCAGUGCCCCCCCAGCGUCCCCAUUGCCAACCAGUUCGCCGCCCAAUCCCCCAGUUUAACCCAGUGCCCCCUUUUCCCUGGGCCCGUGUGGCCGUACCCCCUCCAUCACGCCCCCCCAGUGCCCCCCCAGUCCCUCCCAGUGCCCUCACCUCGGGGUGGGCGAGGGUCCCGGUGGGGUGGGGGGGGGUCUCAGCCCACCCUCAUGGCUCAGCCCCCCACGACACCGGCCUGGGGGGGCGGAAAAAACGGGGACAGCGUCGCGGGGGGGGCCGGACACCCCCCCACAGCCCCCCCCCAUA
Molecule: long non-coding RNA, 1073 nt
Filed under: Calidris pugnax (ruff)
Lineage: Eukaryota; Metazoa; Chordata; Aves; Charadriiformes; Scolopacidae
Description: lncRNA (ENSCPUG00000007720.1)
Source: RNAcentral